RNAcentral lists this unclassified non-coding RNA (736 nucleotides) under Orthostichella hexasticha. Its description in RNAcentral is "sequence contains 18S rRNA gene, ITS1, 5.8S rRNA gene, ITS2, 28S rRNA gene". The stretch from base 294 to 446 matches the Rfam family "5.8S ribosomal RNA". The record is from RNAcentral. Lineage: Eukaryota; Viridiplantae; Streptophyta; Bryopsida; Hypnales; Orthostichellaceae.
GAAGGAUCAUUGCACACACAAGUUGCAGCCAACCCGCGGCGAACGAACACAUUGUCCCCCUCGGUGGGUCGCGGCGCCUCGCGGCGGCGCGGCCGGCCACCUCCCUUCGUCACGAGCUUCGUCACGAGCUUCGUCACGAACUCGGGGCGUCGGGUUUCCACGCGAUGCCUUCACCUUGACCGAAUGACUGAGUCCCUUACUUGACAGGAGUGAGUUCCGUCCCCCUUGGCUUGCCUUGGCUCGCGAAGGGGGCCGGCGCUGGUUACCUUGCGAGUUGAAACAUAACCUAAAACAACUCUCAGCAACGGAUAUCUUGGCUCUUGCAACGAUGAAGAACGCAGCGAAAUGCGAUACGUAGUGUGAAUUGCAGAAUUCCGCGAAUCAUCGAGUCUUUGAACGCAAGUUGCGCCCGAGGCUUGUCCAAGGGCAUUUCCGCUAGAGCGUCACCGCGCCCCCCACCGAUCCACUCCCACGGCGAGUCGGGUCGAGUGAAAGUGGCCAUCCCGGUGCGCCUUCUGAGGAAGGCCCUAAGGGUUGGCUGAAAUGGAGGGAAUUGGGCCGCCGUGGUGACGCAGUCCGCGAUCGGGUGAUCCGAGCUCUUCCGGGAGCCCGGACUUUUUCUAAGUGCGUGGCUGCGUCCCCCAGUUGGUUGUGGUUACCUCAUGCAGGUCGAGCGCGCCCCCCGCGGCGCGCGUCACGCAUCAGACCUCUAAUCGGAAAAGACUACCCGCUGAGU